This 533-nucleotide long non-coding RNA is filed under the name Cyanistes caeruleus (blue tit). RNAcentral's name for it is "lncRNA (ENSCCEG00000008577.1)". Lineage: Eukaryota; Metazoa; Chordata; Aves; Passeriformes; Paridae. The record is from RNAcentral.
UUUUUGUUUGGAUAAAUGUGAGGGCACAUGAUGAGCUGUCCCUUUCAUAUUGCUAGACCCCUGACCUCUACCUUUCUCCUGUUAAAGUUCCACAGGUGUUGGGAUCUGGAAAGCCAAUGGAAAUGAGACAAGUGGACGUGACCAGCUCAGAUCUACUUGGCUCUGACAACCUAAACGAGGUCACACCACAGAAAAGUCAAAAAAAUGAGUUGAACAAAUGGACAGGUUUUCUUCAUUGUGAAAGAGCCUCUAAGCAGGAGUUUCUGAGAGGUGUGUUGAGGGCCCCAGGGAAAUGCUCAGUAAGUUAAAUAUUGACAGCUCUGUUCACUAUUUGGCUUUCACUGUGUAGUGUUUAAUGAUGCACAGAGUUAGGACCUGCUGUGUUUGGUGCUGUAUAGAGUGAGGAAAAUUUAAAAUUGCCCUUGUAAAGACCUUGGAAUCAUAACAUAUAAGGAGCAAAUGUGCCCAUAGCUUUUCAGGCAAGAAGCUUUGCUGUGAAGGAAUAAAUGAGAUGCAAGAGCAGAUUUAACUCA